GCGGGGGACCCAUCCUCGGGCGCACCAGCGUCCUCGGGGUGAAGCCGGCGUCCCAUGCGGGCCCGGCCGGGUGUUCUCCCACCCGAACCCGACAGCUCACCUCGC
This 105-nucleotide non-coding RNA is filed under the name Actinotalea fermentans. Its description in RNAcentral is "c-di-AMP sequence". It matches the Rfam family "c-di-AMP riboswitch aptamer (ydaO/yuaA leader)", at positions 30 to 114 of the family's 134-position model. Rfam says of the family: This family represents a conserved RNA structure found upstream of the ydaO and yuaA genes in Bacillus subtilis and related genes in other bacteria. The ydaO/yuaA element is thought to act as a genetic "off" switch for the ydaO and yuaA genes in its native state. Lineage: Bacteria; Bacillati; Actinomycetota; Actinomycetes; Micrococcales; Cellulomonadaceae. The record is from Rfam by way of RNAcentral.